Molecule: ribosomal RNA, 428 nt
Filed under: uncultured bacterium
Lineage: Bacteria
Description: partial 16S ribosomal RNA
Rfam family: Bacterial small subunit ribosomal RNA
Source: RNAcentral
GUGGGGAAUAUUGGGCAAUGGGGGAAACCCUGACCCAGCAACGCCGCGUGAGGGAAGAAGGUUUUCGGAUUGUAAACCUCUGUCCUUGGUGACGAAGGAAGUGACGGUAGCCAAGGAGGAAGCCCCGGCUAACUACGUGCCAGCAGCCGCGGUAAUACGUAGGGGGCAAGCGUUGUCCGGAAUGACUGGGCGUAAAGGGCGUGUAGGCGGCCGAUUAAGUCUGGAGUGAAAGUCCUGCUUUCAAGGUGGGAAUUGCUUUGGAGGCUGGUUGGCUUGAGUGCGGAAGAGGUAAGUGGAAUUCCCAGUGUAGCGGUGAAAUGCGUAGAGAUUGGGAGGAACACCAGUGGCGAAGGCGACUUACUGGGCCGUAACUGACGCUGAGGCGCGAAAGCGUGGGGAGCGAACAGGAUUAGAAACCCUGGUAGUCC